GCAUAUCAAUAAGCGGAGGAAAAGAACCGUAGGCGUAUAACGGUAGCUACGGCGAGUGAGUGGGAAAGCUCAACUUUGAAAUCUGGCAGCUUCGCUGUCCGAGUUGUAGUCUCGAGAAGUGUUUUCCGCGCUGGACCAUGUAUGAGUCUGUUGGAAUACAGCGUCAUAGAGGGUGAGAACCCCGUUCAUGACAUGCCUUCCAGUGCUUUGUGAUACACUUUCGAUGAGUCGAGUUGUUUGGGAAUGCAGCUCAAAAUGGGUGGUAAAUUCCAUCUAAAGCUAAAUAUUGGGGAGAGACCGAUAGCAAACAAGUACCGUGAGGGAAAGAUGAAAAGCACUUUGGAAAGAGAGUUAACAGUACGUGAAAUUGUUGAAAGGGAAACGCUUGAAGUCAGACGUGCGUAGUGCCUUCGGGUGCUGUUGCAGGCCAGCAUCAGUUUUGCGAGCCGGAUAAAGGUGGGAGGAAGGUGGCAGCUCCGGCUGUGUUAUAGCCUCCCACUGAAUACGGAUUGUGAGACUGAGGAAUGCGAUUCUAGGAUGCUGGUGGAAUGGCUUUAAACGACCCGUCUUGAAACACGGACC
RNAcentral lists this ribosomal RNA (582 nucleotides) under Sakaguchia cladiensis. Its description in RNAcentral is "partial large subunit ribosomal RNA". It matches the Rfam family "Eukaryotic large subunit ribosomal RNA", at positions 38 to 667 of the family's 3401-position model. The record is from RNAcentral. Lineage: Eukaryota; Fungi; Basidiomycota; Cystobasidiomycetes; Sakaguchiales; Sakaguchiaceae.